This 533-nucleotide ribosomal RNA is filed under the name uncultured Bacteroidota bacterium. RNAcentral describes it as "bacterial SSU rRNA". It matches the Rfam family "Bacterial small subunit ribosomal RNA", at positions 224 to 754 of the family's 1533-position model. Lineage: Bacteria; Pseudomonadati; Bacteroidota. The record is from RNAcentral.
GAUGAGCAUGCGUCCCAUUAGCUAGUUGGUAAGGUAACGGCUUACCAAGGCAACGAUGGGUAGGGGUCCUGAGAGGGAGAUCCCCCACACUGGUACUGAGACACGGACCAGACUCCUACGGGAGGCAGCAGUGAGGAAUAUUGGUCAAUGGGCGCAAGCCUGAACCAGCCAUGCCGCGUGCAGGAUGACGGUCCUAUGGAUUGUAAACUGCUUUUGCACAGGAAGAAACAUCCCGACGUGUCGGGACUUGACGGUACUGUGAGAAUAAGGAUCGGCUAACUCCGUGCCAGCAGCCGCGGUAAUACGGAGGAUCCAAGCGUUAUCCGGAAUCAUUGGGUUUAAAGGGUCCGUAGGCGGUUUAGUAAGUCAGUGGUGAAAGCCCAUCGCUCAACGGUGGAACGGCCAUUGAUACUGCUAGACUUGAAUUAUUAGGAAGUAACUAGAAUAUGUAGUGUAGCGGUGAAAUGCUUAGAGAUUACAUGGAAUACCAAUUGCGAAGGCAGGUUACUACUAAUGGAUUGACGCUGAUGGAC